CAGCCUGCCCAGUGACUCUGUUCAACGGCCGCGGUAUCCUAACCGUGCGAAGGUAGCGUAAUCACUUGUUCUUUAAAUGAGGACUAGUAUGAAUGGCACCACGAAGGUUAUACUGUCUCCUUUUUCUAAUCAGUGAAACUAAUCUUCCCGUGAAGAAGCGGGAAUAAAAAUAUAAGACGAGAAGACCCUAUGGAGCUUUAAACAAAUAUACAACUGUCCACACUACUAAAAAUUUCAGAAGAUAAACACUCACCUGGACACUUUGAUAUAGAGUUUUAGGUUGGGGUGACCACGGAGUAAAAAACAACCUCCGCAAUGAAAGGGAACUUUCCCUAAACCAAGAGCUACAGCCCUAAGUAUCAAUAAAUUGACACCAAUUGACCCAAUACAUUUGAUCAAUGAACCAAGUUACCCUAGGGAUAACAGCGCAAUCCACUUCAAGAGCCCCUAUCGACAAGUGGGUUUACGACCUCGAUGUUGGAUCAGGGUAUCCUAGUGGUGCAGCCGCUACUAACGGUUCGUUUGUUCAACGAUUAAAACCCUACGUGAUCUAU
RNAcentral lists this ribosomal RNA (554 nucleotides) under Leptodactylus camaquara (digger foam frog). RNAcentral's name for it is "partial large subunit ribosomal RNA". It matches the Rfam family "Bacterial large subunit ribosomal RNA", at positions 1854 to 2608 of the family's 2925-position model. The record is from RNAcentral. Lineage: Eukaryota; Metazoa; Chordata; Amphibia; Anura; Leptodactylidae.